This 1277-nucleotide ribosomal RNA is filed under the name Staphylococcus aureus M0573. Its description in RNAcentral is "bacterial LSU rRNA". It matches the Rfam family "Bacterial large subunit ribosomal RNA", at positions 981 to 2259 of the family's 2925-position model. Lineage: Bacteria; Bacillati; Bacillota; Bacilli; Caryophanales; Staphylococcaceae. The record is from RNAcentral.
GAGUCAGAACAUGGGUGAUAAGGUCCGUGUUCGAAAGGGAAACAGCCCAGACCACCAGCUAAGGUCCCAAAAUAUAUGUUAAGUGGAAAAGGAUGUGGCGUUGCCCAGACAACUAGGAUGUUGGCUUAGAAGCAGCCAUCAUUUAAAGAGUGCGUAAUAGCUCACUAGUCGAGUGACACUGCGCCGAAAAUGUACCGGGGCUAAACAUAUUACCGAAGCUGUGGAUUGUCCUUUGGACAAUGGUAGGAGAGCGUUCUAAGGGCGUUGAAGCAUGAUCGUAAGGACAUGUGGAGCGCUUAGAAGUGAGAAUGCCGGUGUGAGUAGCGAAAGACGGGUGAGAAUCCCGUCCACCGAUUGACUAAGGUUUCCAGAGGAAGGCUCGUCCGCUCUGGGUUAGUCGGGUCCUAAGCUGAGGCCGACAGGCGUAGGCGAUGGAUAACAGGUUGAUAUUCCUGUACCACCUAUAAUCGUUUUAAUCGAUGGGGGGACGCAGUAGGAUAGGCGAAGCGUGCGAUUGGAUUGCACGUCUAAGCAGUAAGGCUGAGUAUUAGGCAAAUCCGGUACUCGUUAAGGCUGAGCUGUGAUGGGGAGAAGACAUUGAGUCUUCGAGUCGUUGAUUUCACACUGCCGAGAAAAGCCUCUAGAUAGAAAAUAGGUGCCCGUACCGCAAACCGACACAGGUAGUCAAGAUGAGAAUUCUAAGGUGAGCGAGCGAACUCUCGUUAAGGAACUCGGCAAAAUGACCCCGUAACUUCGGGAGAAGGGGUGCUCUUUAGGGUUAACGCCCAGAAGAGCCGCAGUGAAUAGGCCCAAGCGACUGUUUAUCAAAAACACAGGUCUCUGCUAAACCGUAAGGUGAUGUAUAGGGGCUGACGCCUGCCCGGUGCUGGAAGGUUAAGAGGAGUGGUUAGCUUCUGCGAAGCUACGAAUCGAAGCCCCAGUAAACGGCGGCCGUAACUAUAACGGUCCUAAGGUAGCGAAAUUCCUUGUCGGGUAAGUUCCGACCCGCACGAAAGGCGUAACGAUUUGGGCACUGUCUCAACGAGAGACUCGGUGAAAUCAUAGUACCUGUGAAGAUGCAGGUUACCCGCGACAGGACGGAAAGACCCCGUGGAGCUUUACUGUAGCCUGAUAUUGAAAUUCGGCACAGCUUGUACAGGAUAGGUAGGAGCCUUUGAAACGUGAGCGCUAGCUUACGUGGAGGCGCUGGUGGGAUACUACCCUAGCUGUGUUGGCUUUCUAACCCGCACCACUUAUCGUGGUGGGAGACAGUGUCA